Molecule: ribosomal RNA, 274 nt
Filed under: uncultured bacterium
Lineage: Bacteria
Description: partial 16S ribosomal RNA
Rfam family: Bacterial small subunit ribosomal RNA
Source: RNAcentral
AUACGGAGGGUGCAAGCGUUAAUCGGAAUUACUGGGCGUAAAGAGUACGUAGGUGGUUUGUUUAGUCAGAUGUGAAAGCCCAGGGCUCAACCUUGGAACUGCAUUUGAAACUGGCAGACUAGAGUAUGUUAGAGGGGGGUAGAAUUCAUAGUGUAGCGGUGAAAUGCGUAGAUAUUAUGAGGAAUACCGGUGGCGAAGGCGGCCCCCUGGCCAAAUACUGACACUGAGGUACGAAAGCGUGGGUAGCGAACGGCAUUAGAAACCCCAGUAGUCC